Molecule: long non-coding RNA, 776 nt
Filed under: Bos taurus (domestic cattle)
Lineage: Eukaryota; Metazoa; Chordata; Mammalia; Artiodactyla; Bovidae
Description: long non-coding RNA NONBTAT019647
Source: RNAcentral
GGUAUUGUUUUCUUGUCGAUCCUUUUCACUUGAGCACUGUUUCCACAUUUUUCCACUGUGAGCCCAGACUUGGAUUAAAUCACAUGGGAAGCGAAGUUCCUGUAUUAAUUUCAGCUUGCUUUUGAAAGCAUCAGCUCACAGGAUAGAAGCUCAUCACACUUCAGCUUGUAAAUGCUCUGGCAGGCUUGGCUAGUCAACUUGCAACAUUUCAGGGCUGCAAACCUCAUUGCUUGUUGGUAGAUACAGGAGACACAGUUCAUGGGUAUCAGGUUUCAAUGGGGGAAAAAAAGUAGUAAGAAAUGUUCUAAUGCAGCAACACAAACACACAGAUUUUUGUAAAGUGCAAGUAGAUCAUAAGUUGAGGCCUCAGAGAACUCAGUAAUCAAUUUAAUAUAAAAUGACAUGCAAUUUAUUUCUAUCAAUUUGCCUUGUUUGCUUUUUAAAAAAUUUUUUUCCAUCUUUUGUUUUAAAGAGCUUUUCGAGGAGGUGCUUGUUAAAGGAGUCUUUUGGCAGGUUGUUCCCCCAAACUAUGGGAAGAAAUGGGAAGUAAAAUGGAGAUGGCAGAAGCUGAAUGAUGCCUUUAAAUUGACUGACAACAUCAUUCCCUAUUAUUACUACCUUGUAGACUGCCAAAGAACUAAUGUACUUCAGACAUCUAAUGUAAUUAAUUCAGGACCACAAGUCUGAAUCACAAAUCUACAUGUGGAUUCAGUAGGAAAAAGAAAAAUAUGGUCCGGAGGAGAAAAAAUAUCUUUUUGCACAGCUACCUCUAAUUU